CGGAGGGUGCAAGCGUUGUCCGGAUUUAUUGGGUUUAAAGGGUGCGUAGGUGGCUUAUUAAGUCAGUGUUUAAAGUCUGCAGCUUAACUGUAGGAAUGGCAUUGAUACUGAUAGGCUUGAGUAAAGUUGAGGUAGGCGGAAUUGAAGGUGUAGCGGUGAAAUGCAUAGAUAUCUUCAAGAACACCGAUUGCGAAGGCAGCUUACUAAGCUUUAACUGACACUGAGGCACGAAAGCGUGGGGAUCAAACAGGAUU
This 254-nucleotide ribosomal RNA is filed under the name uncultured bacterium. RNAcentral's name for it is "partial 16S ribosomal RNA". It matches the Rfam family "Bacterial small subunit ribosomal RNA", at positions 526 to 779 of the family's 1533-position model. The record is from RNAcentral.